This 253-nucleotide ribosomal RNA is filed under the name uncultured bacterium. RNAcentral describes it as "partial 16S ribosomal RNA". It matches the Rfam family "Bacterial small subunit ribosomal RNA", at positions 524 to 776 of the family's 1533-position model. The record is from RNAcentral.
GACGUAGGGGGCCAGCGUUGUUCGGAAUUACUGGGUGUAAAGGGUUCGUAGGCGGUGCGGCAAGUCGGGAGUGAAAUCUCUGGGCUUAACCCAGAGGCUGCUUCCGAAACUGCUGUGCUUGAGUGUGGGAGAGGCGCGUGGAAUUGCAGGUGUAGCGGUGAAAUGCGUAGAUAUCGAGAGGAACACCUGCGGCGAAGGCGGGUUGCUGGGCCGACACUGACGCUGAUGCGCGAAAGCCAGGGGAGCGAACGGG